CACUGAUAUGAAGAGCUUGCUCGGAUUUGAAGAUGAACAUUGCAAAGAGUGGCGAACGGGUGAGUAACACGUGGGAAACCUACCUCUUAGCGGGGGAUAACACUUGGAAACAAGUGCUAAUACCGCAUAAUACUGAUAACCGCAUGGUUAUCAGUUGAAAGAUGGUUCUGCUAUCACUAAGAGAUGGUCCCGCGGUGUAUUAGCUAGUUGGUAAGGUAAUGGCUUACCAAGGCAAUGAUACAUAUCCGAGUUGAGAGACUGAUCGGCCACAAUGGGACUGAGACACGGCCCAUACUCCUACGGGAGGCAGCAGUAGGGAAUCUUCCACAAUGGACGAAAGUCUGAUGGAGCAACGCCGCGUGUGUGAUGAAGGGUUUCGGCUCGUAAAACACUGUUGUAAGAGAAGAAUGACAUUGAGAGUAACUGUUCAGUGUGUGACGGUAUCUUACCAGAAAGGAACGGCUAAAUACGUGCCAGCAGCCGCGGGAAUACGUAUGUUCCAAGCGUUAUCCGGAUUUAUUGGGCGUAAAGCGAGCGCAGACGGUUGUUUAAGUCUGAAGUGAAAGCCCACAGCUUAACUGUGGAAGUGCUUUGGAAACUGGAUAGCUUGAGUGCAGUAGAGGAGAGUGGAACUCCAUGGG
RNAcentral lists this ribosomal RNA (641 nucleotides) under Weissella minor. RNAcentral describes it as "bacterial SSU rRNA". It matches the Rfam family "Bacterial small subunit ribosomal RNA", at positions 48 to 675 of the family's 1533-position model. Lineage: Bacteria; Bacillati; Bacillota; Bacilli; Lactobacillales; Lactobacillaceae. The record is from RNAcentral.